RNAcentral lists this unclassified non-coding RNA (398 nucleotides) under Hevea brasiliensis (rubber tree). Lineage: Eukaryota; Viridiplantae; Streptophyta; Magnoliopsida; Malpighiales; Euphorbiaceae. The record is from RNAcentral.
AAAUUCUCAACAAAUUGACAAUGGCCAAACAAGACCCAAUACUUAUUUUGCCAAGAAAUGUUUAUUAAAACCAAGAAAUAGCUAAAAUGAUAUGAGAUUAAAGAAAAAGUAGUAGAGUAUCUAAAUGGCAUUGGGCAACACCGAAAAGAGCGAAAACUCGCGUGAAAGGCUAGGUGACUAGCAAAGGAGGCCUUUAGGCCUUCGAAUUGAUCAAUGGUGAUGGGUUUCAGUUGAAGGAAUGGCACACCUCGAAGUAAUGGCACACCAAAGGUAGAGAAGCAAACUAAAGAAAAAGGAAAAAAAAGAUGGAAAAUUAUGUAUUAAAAAGAUGAAGAAAAUGUGUAGAGAUUUUAGAGAAAGAAAAAUUGAGUAGAAAUUUUAUGAAGAGAGUUUUAUAG